RNAcentral lists this transfer RNA (79 nucleotides) under Apaloderma vittatum (bar-tailed trogon). It matches the Rfam family "tRNA". Rfam says of the family: Transfer RNA (tRNA) molecules are approximately 80 nucleotides in length. The record is from Rfam by way of RNAcentral. Lineage: Eukaryota; Metazoa; Chordata; Aves; Trogoniformes; Trogonidae.
GGCCGGUUAGCUCAGUGGUUUGAGCGUGGUGCUGACGAGGACCAACUCCGAGGUUGCGGGUUUGAUUCCCGCUCGGUCC